UGGCUCAGGAUGAACGCUGGCGGCGUGCCUAAUACAUGCAAGUCGAACGAAUCUCUUUUAGAGAUGAGUGGCGAACGGGUGAGUAAUACAUAGGUAACCUGCCCCUGUGCGGGGGAUAACAGGAGGAAACUCCUGCUAAUACCGCAUAGCCAUGAGCACCGCAUGGAGCUCAUGCCAAAUAUCCUUUAUGGGAUAGCGCAGGGAUGGACCUAUGGCGCAUUAGCUGGUUGGCGGGGCAACGGCCCACCAAGGCAACGAUGCGUAGCCGGCCUGAGAGGGCGGACGGCCACAUUGGGACUGAGACACGGCCCAGACUCCUACGGGAGGCAGCAGUAGGGAAUUUUCGGCAAUGGGGGAAACCCUGACCGAGCAACGCCGCGUGAGCGAAGAAGGCCUUCGGGUCGUAAAGCUCUGUUGUAAAGGAAGAACGGCGCAUACAGGAAAUGGUAUGCGAGUGACGGUACUUUACCAGAAAGCCACGGCUAACUACGUGCCAGCAGCCGCGGUAAUACGUAGGUGGCGAGCGUUAUCCGGAAUCAUUGGGCGUAAAGAGGGAGCAGGCGGCCGCAAGGGUCUGUGGUGAAAGCCCGAAGCUAAACUUCGGUAAGCCAUGGAAACCGGGCGGCUAGAGUGCGGAAGAGGAUCGUGGAAUUCCAUGUGUAGCGGUGAAAUGCGUAGAUAUAUGGAGGAACACCAGUGGCGAAGGCGACGGUCUGGGCCGCAACUGACGCUCAUUCCCGAAAGCGUGGGGAGCAAAUAGGAUUAGAUACCCUAGUAGUCCACGCCGUAAACGAUGGUCACUAAGUGUCGGGGGUCAAACCCCGGUGCUGCAGUCAACGCAAUAAGUGACCCGCCUGAGUAGUACGUUCGCAAGAAUGAAACUCAAAGGAAUUGACGGAAGGGCG
Molecule: ribosomal RNA, 905 nt
Filed under: uncultured bacterium
Lineage: Bacteria
Description: bacterial SSU rRNA
Rfam family: Bacterial small subunit ribosomal RNA
Source: RNAcentral